This 301-nucleotide ribosomal RNA is filed under the name uncultured bacterium. RNAcentral describes it as "partial 16S ribosomal RNA". It matches the Rfam family "Bacterial small subunit ribosomal RNA", at positions 509 to 807 of the family's 1533-position model. The record is from RNAcentral.
CAGCCGCCGCGGGAAUACGCAGGUGGCAAGCGUUGUCCGGAAUUAUUGGGCGUAAAGGGCUCGCAGGCGGUUUCUUAAGUCUGAUGUGAAAGCCCCCGGCUCAACCGGGGAGGGUCAUUGGAAACUGGGAAACUUGAGUGCAGAAGAGGAGAGUGGAAUUCCACGUGUAGCGGUGAAAUGCGUAGAGAUGUGGAGGAACACCAGUGGCGAAGGCGACUCUCUGGUCUGUAACUGACGCUGAGGAGCGAAAGCGUGGGGAGCGAACAGGAUUAGAUACCCCUGUAGUCCCUGUCUCUUAUAC